AACCGCAAAGGGCUCAGUAAACCAGUUUUAAUUUACUAGAGUUUUUACGUUUCGUACGUGGAUACCUGUGGUAAUUCUAGAGCUAAUACAUGCAAUAAAGUCCGGACCAGCAAUGGAAAGGACGCUUUUAUUAGAUCAAAACCAUUCGCUCAAUUAAUUUCGGGCGUUUAUUUGAUGAAUCUAGAUAACACAUUUGAUCGUACAGUCUUGUACUGACGACGUCUCUUUCAAACGCCUGACUUAUCAGCUGUCGAUGGUAGACUCUGUGUCUACCAUGGCCCUCACGGGUAACGGGGAAUCAGGGUUCGAUUCCGGAGAGGGAGCCUGAGAAACGGCUACCACAUCCAAGGAAGGCAGCAGGCACGCAAAUUACCCACUCCCGGCACGGGGAGGUAGUGACAAAAAAUAACGAUACGGGACUCUAUUGAGGCCCCGUAAUCGGAAUGAGUACACUUUAAAUCCUUUAACAAGGAUCCAUUGGAGGGCAAGUCUGGUGCCAGCAGCCGCGGUAAUUCCAGCUCCAAUAGCGUAUAUUAAAGUUGUUGCGGUUAAAAAGCUCGUAGUUGGUUCUGCGUGCCGCGCUGUCGGUUCGCCGCCUGUCGGUGUAACUGGCAUGUCGCGGCAUGUCCUGUCGGUGGUGAACGGGAUCCCCGGUGUUAAACUUGCUUCUGUGAGUUUUUCAACGUGCGUGAUGUCGUUUGCCGAUCUCUCCUACUCCGGUGCUCUUC
This 728-nucleotide ribosomal RNA is filed under the name Empicoris rubromaculatus. RNAcentral describes it as "SSU rRNA". It matches the Rfam family "Eukaryotic small subunit ribosomal RNA", at positions 85 to 754 of the family's 1831-position model. Lineage: Eukaryota; Metazoa; Arthropoda; Insecta; Hemiptera; Reduviidae. The record is from RNAcentral.